UAGCUCAGUUGGGAGAGCGUUAGACUGAAGAUCUAAAGGUCCCCGGUUUGAUCCUGGG
Molecule: non-coding RNA, 58 nt
Organism: Danio rerio (zebrafish)
Lineage: Eukaryota; Metazoa; Chordata; Actinopteri; Cypriniformes; Danionidae
Source: Rfam